GAUGAACGCUAGCGGCAGGCUUAACACAUGCAAGUCGAGGGGUAUGCCGAUUUAUCGGCAGAGACCGGCGCACGGGUGCGUAACGCGUAUGCAAUCUACCUUUCACAGAGGGAUAGCCCAGAGAAAUUUGGAUUAAUACCUCAUAGUAUAGCAGUUUCGCAUGAAACCACUAUUAAAGUUCCAACGGUGAAAGAUGAGCAUGCGUCCCAUUAGCUAGAUGGUAAGGUAACGGCUUACCAUGGCUACGAUGGGUAGGGGUCCUGAGAGGGAGAUCCCCCACACUGGUACUGAGACACGGACCAGACUCCUACGGGAGGCAGCAGUGAGGAAUAUUGGUCAAUGGACGCAAGUCUGAACCAGCCAUGCCGCGUGCAGGAUGACGGUCCUAUGGAUUGUAAACUGCUUUUGUACGAGAAGAAACAUUCCGACGAGUCGGAACUUGACGGUAUCGUAAGAAUAAGGAUCGGCUAACUCCGUGCCAGCAGCCGCGGUAA
Molecule: ribosomal RNA, 494 nt
Filed under: uncultured bacterium
Lineage: Bacteria
Description: partial 16S ribosomal RNA
Rfam family: Bacterial small subunit ribosomal RNA
Source: RNAcentral